This 426-nucleotide long non-coding RNA is filed under the name Homo sapiens (human). RNAcentral's name for it is "HSALNT0343301". Lineage: Eukaryota; Metazoa; Chordata; Mammalia; Primates; Hominidae. The record is from RNAcentral.
GCUUCCCCGCCCGGCCGCCGCCAUGAUGAGGAGGUCGGCGCGGCUGUGCUGCGGGCAGGCAGCGGAGAGGGCUCGCGGCGAGGGCUCCAGCUUACCCCGCCGCCGCGUCGCGUGCACGGAGCGCUUCAGAGGUUUGGAGGGGGCCGGAACCUCAAAAGCAACUGGAUGAGCACAACGCGGACGCCCCGGAGAAGCGGCGCAAGCGGGCCCAAAAUGGUUGCUGAUCAGACGAGUGGCAUCUCUCGCCCCCCUACCGCGGGAAUUGGGACCUCCAGACUGUGCCUGGGGGAUCGGCAAGUGGUUCCCCUCUGGUUUUUUCGGCGCUGCCUUCCCGGUGGUAUCCUCACUCUCUCUCUUUGAAAUGACCUCUGCUUUCCUAUCUCUAACUCUUCCCAGAUAUUUGAAAGCAAGUUUUUGUACAAAGCA